CGCGUUAAUGGGUUAAUGUAACAAACACAACGUAUCUUAAAGAGUUCAUAAUCUUACCAAAAAAAAUUUUUUUCAGAUUUUUUGCAAUAAUUAAAAUGAUGGGACGAAGAAAUUAAAAUGUAGCAAGUUGUUUCGGAACCAAAACUACUCGAGCACAGUUGAAGAUUAGAAACUUAUCUAUGAUCGAUUCAAAGUCAAUCAAAGGAUGAGGAGUAAAACGUAGAAGAAAGGAUACAAAGAAAGAAAGAUUAUAUUAAUUCAUCGAAUUCCAACUAAUAUAAAUGGAGAUUUUCAUGUACCAUUAAAGGAAAAUGCUAUGAUUUUGUUCAAUUGUACAUUAAAAAAUUAAUUUUACGAAAAAGUGAUCAAAACUUAUUUUCAAUUCACAUAUAAAUUGAUGAAUUAUCGGAUCAUGCUCAUAAACUAUUAAUACAAUUUCACUCAAACAAAUGUACUUUCAUGACAAGUUGUCAAUCAUUUCAAUCAAUAAAAAAAACUUCAAUGAA
Molecule: long non-coding RNA, 506 nt
Organism: Trichogramma pretiosum
Lineage: Eukaryota; Metazoa; Arthropoda; Insecta; Hymenoptera; Trichogrammatidae
Exons: 3
Source: RefSeq, a predicted model, not a curated record